RNAcentral lists this ribosomal RNA (932 nucleotides) under uncultured bacterium. RNAcentral's name for it is "bacterial SSU rRNA". It matches the Rfam family "Bacterial small subunit ribosomal RNA", at positions 28 to 1007 of the family's 1533-position model. The record is from RNAcentral.
AACGUACGCUGGCGGCACGCCUAACACAUGCAAGUCGAACGCAGUAGCAAUACUGAGUGGCAAACGGGUGAGUAUAAUGUGGGAAUCUGCCUUUUGGUUUGGAAUAACACGGGGAAACUUGUGCUAAUACCAAAUAAGCCCUUACGGGGAAAGUUUUAACGCCGAAAGAUGAGCCUGCACUUGAUUAGCUAGUUGGUAAGGUAAAGGCUUACCAAGGCAACGAUCAAUAGCUGUUCUUAGAGGAAGACCAGCCACAUUGGGACUGAGACACGGCCCAGACUCCUACGGGAGGCAGCAGUGGGGAAUCUUGCACAAUGGGGGAAACCCUGAUGCAGCGAUGCCGCGUGAGUGAAGAAGGCCUUUGGGUUGUAAAACUCUUUCGUCGGGGAAGAAAAUGACUGUACCCGAAUAAGAAGGUCCGGCUAACUUCGUGCCAGCAGCCGCGGUAAUACGAAGGGACCUAGCGUAGUUCGGAAUUACUGGGCUUAAAGAGCUCGUAGGUGGUUAAAAAGUUGAUGGUGAAAUCCCAAGGCUCAACCUUGGAACUGCCAUCAAAACUUUUUAGCUAGAGUGUGAUAGAGGUAAGUGGAAUUUCUAGUGUAGAGGUGAAAUUCGUAGAUAUUAGAAAGAACACCAAAUGCGAAGGCAACUUACUGGGUCACUACUGACACUGAGGAGCGAAAGCAUGGGUAGCGAAGAGGAUUAGAUACCCUCGUAGUCCAUGCCGUAAACGAUGUGUGCUAGACGUUGGGAAUAUAUUUUUCAGUGUCGCAGCGAAAGCAUUAAGCACACCGCCUGGGGAGUACGACCGCAAGGUUAAAACUCAAAUGAAUUGACGGGGACCCGCACAAGCAGUGGAGCAUGUGGUUUAAUUCGAAGAUACGCGCAGAACCUUACCAACACUUGACAUGUUCGUCGCGAGACUAAGAGAU